AAAACGUUGACUGACUCCCGUUUACAAUUCAUACGAAAUGUUGUUCACACCUGCAAUGCCAGUAAACCGUGACACCUAGAUUUCACUGAAUAAGGAUCAAAGGAUUAGAAUUACAUAAUGCUAAUCUUUUAAUUACCUUGAGUUAACCUACGCAUUCAACAUUCUUUAGGUGUCACAAAACAAUACACAUUUUAUUUCCACCG
Molecule: long non-coding RNA, 203 nt
Filed under: Mytilus galloprovincialis (Mediterranean mussel)
Lineage: Eukaryota; Metazoa; Mollusca; Bivalvia; Mytilida; Mytilidae
Source: RNAcentral